GAUGAACGCUGGCGGCGUGCCUAAUACAUGCAAGUAGAACGCUGAAGGAAGGAGCUUGCUCUUUCCGGAUGAGUUGCGAACGGGUGAGUAACGCGUAGGUAACCUGCCUGGUAGCGGGGGAUAACUAUUGGAAACGAUAGCUAAUACCGCAUAACAGUAGAUGUUGCAUGAUAUCUACUUAAAAGGUGCAAUUGCACCACUACCAGAUGGACCUGCGUUGUAUUAGCUAGUUGGUGAGGUAACGGCUCACCAAGGCGACGAUACAUAGCCGACCUGAGAGGGUGAUAGGCCACACUGGGACUGGGACACGGCCCAGACUCCUACGGGAGGCAGCAGUAGGGAAUCUUCGGCAAUGGACGGAAGUAUGGCCGAGCAACGCCGCGUGAGUGAAGAAGGUUUUCGGAUCGUAAAGCUCUGUUGUAAGAGAAGAACGAGUGUGAGAGUGGAAAGUUCACACUGUGACGGUAUCUUACCAGAAAGGGACGGCUAACUACGUG
Molecule: ribosomal RNA, 497 nt
Filed under: uncultured bacterium
Lineage: Bacteria
Description: partial 16S ribosomal RNA
Rfam family: Bacterial small subunit ribosomal RNA
Source: RNAcentral